AACAUUUCACAACACGAGCCGACGACAGCCAUGCAGCACCUGUCUCAGAGUUCCCGAAGGCACUAAGCUAUCUCUAGCGAAUUCUCUGGAUGUCAAGAGUAGGUAAGGUUCUUCGCGUUGCAUCGAAUUAAACCACAUGCUCCACCGCUUGUGCGGGCCCCCGUCAAUUCAUUUGAGUUUUAACCUUGCGGCCGUACUCCCCAGGCGGUCGACUUAACGCGUUAGCUCCGGAAGCCACGCCUCAAGGGCACAACCUCCAAGUCGACAUCGUUUACAGCGUGGACUACCAGGGUAUCUAAUCCUGUUUGCUCCCCACGCUUUCGCACCUGAGCGUCAGUCUUUGUCCAGGGGGCCGCCUUCGCCACCGGUAUUCCUCCAGAUCUCUACGCAUUUCACCGCUACACCUGGAAUUCUACCCCCCUCUACAAGACUCAAGCCUGCCAGUUUCAAAUGCAGUUCCCAGGUUAAGCCCGGGGAUUUCACAUCUGACUUAACAGACCGCCUGCGUGCGCUUUACGCCCAGUAAUUCCGAUUAGCGCUUGCACCCUCCGUAUUACCGCGGCUGCUGGCACGGAGUUAGCCGGUGCUUCUUCUGCGGGUAACGUCAAUCGACGCGGUUAUUAACCGCAUCGCCUUCCUCCCCGCUGAAAGUACUUUACAACCCGAAGGCCUUCUUCAUACACGCGGCAUGGCUGCAUCAGGCUUGCGCCCAUUGUGCAAUAUUCCCCACUGCUGCCUCCCGUAGGAGUCUGGACCGUGUCUCAGUUCCAGUGUGGCUGGUCAUCCUCUCAGACCAGCUAGGGAUCGUCGCCUAGGUGAGCCAUUACCCCACCUACUAGCUAAUCCCAUCUGGGCACAUCUGAUGGCAAGAGGCCCGAAGGUCCCCCUCUUUGGUCUUGCGACGUUAUGCGGUAUUAGCUACCGUUUCCAGUAGUUAUCCCCCUCCGUCAGGCAGUUUCCCAGACAUUACUCACCCGUCCGCCGCUCGUCACCCAGAGAGCAAGCUCUCCUGUGCUACCGCUC
This 1023-nucleotide ribosomal RNA is filed under the name uncultured bacterium. RNAcentral describes it as "partial 16S ribosomal RNA". The record is from RNAcentral.